AGUGAACGCUGGCGGUAGGCCUAACACAUGCAAGUCGAACGGCAGCACAGGAGAGCUUGCUCUCUAGGUGGCGAGUGGCGGACGGGUGAGGAAUACAUCGGAAUCUGCCCAGUCGUGGGGGAUAACGUAGGGAAACUUACGCUAAUACCGCAUACGACCUUCGGGUGAAAGAGGGGGAUCGCAAGACCUCUCGCGAUUGGAUGAGCCGAUGUCGGAUUAGCUAGUUAGCGGGGUAAUGGCCCACCAAGGCGACGAUCCGUAGCUGGUCUGAGAGGAUGAUCAGCCACACUGGAACUGAGACACGGUCCAGACUCCUACGGGAGGCAGCAGUGGGGAAUAUUGGACAAUGGGCGCAAGCCUGAUCCAGCCAUACCGCGUGGGUGAAGAAGGCCUUCGGGUUGUAAAGCCCUUUUGUUGGGAAAGAAAUCUUUCAGGCUAAUACCCUGGGAGGAUGACGGUACCCAAAGAAUAAGCACCGGUUAACUUCGUG
This 490-nucleotide ribosomal RNA is filed under the name uncultured bacterium. Its description in RNAcentral is "partial 16S ribosomal RNA". It matches the Rfam family "Bacterial small subunit ribosomal RNA", at positions 29 to 507 of the family's 1533-position model. The record is from RNAcentral.